AACAGUUCACAAUCCUCACCCUGAACGAAGUCAAGGUCGAUUUCUUCAGACUCCUCUACCAACACAUUCACCCAAUCACCUCCCGCGCAAAAAUAGCACUGAUUCGGGAAUGAUAAAAAGCACAAAAUUGCGUUAAUCAUACCAAAA
RNAcentral lists this non-coding RNA (147 nucleotides) under uncultured eukaryote. The record is from RNAcentral.